This 209-nucleotide long non-coding RNA is filed under the name Elaeis guineensis (African oil palm). RNAcentral's name for it is "long non-coding RNA (EGUI_LNC030757)". The record is from RNAcentral. Lineage: Eukaryota; Viridiplantae; Streptophyta; Magnoliopsida; Arecales; Arecaceae.
GUGUUGUAAGUUGGCGUACUUCUGACACGGCUCACAUCUUCGAACCAAGUCAGCCGUGUCUUUCUUCAUGGUGGACCAGUAGUAACCUUGCCGCAGGACUUUGUAGGUUAAGAAUUUGCCCCCCAGGUGGCUCCCGCAGAUCCUUUCAUGCACCUCUCUGAGUGCGUAGUCCGCAUCCGUCGAUCCCAGGCACCGUAGCAAGGGAAGGA